GCAAGUGUGUAAGGGCAUACGGUGGAUGUCUUGGCACCAGGAGCCGAUGAAGGACGUGGGAGGCUGCGAUAAGCCUCGGGGAGCUGUCAACCGAGCUGUGAUCCGAGGAUGUCCGAAUGGGGAAACCCGGCACCAGUCAUGUGGUGUCACCCGCACCUGAAUGUAUAGGGUGUGUGGAGGGAACGCGGGGAAGUGAAACAUCUCAGUACCCGUAGGAAGAGAAAACAACAUGUGAUUCCGUGAGUAGUGGCGAGCGAAAGCGGAUGAGGCUAAACCGUGCGCGUGUGAUACCCGGCAGGGGUUGCGUGUGCGGGGUCGUGGGACCUGUCGAUCAGUUCUGCCGGGCUGAUAGAGAGUCAGAAAGCAUCGUGGUUAGUCGAACGUCUCUGGAAUGGGCGACCGUAGUGGGUGAGAGUCCCGUAGGCGAAAACCUGAUGUCUCUCGAUGGUGUUCCCGAGUAGCAGCGGGCUCGUGGAAUCUGCUGUGAAUUUGCCGGGACCACCCGGUAAGCCUGAAUACUCCCUGGUGACCGAUAGCGGACUAGUACCGUGAGGGAAAGAUGAAAAGUACCCCGGGAGGGGAGUGAAAGAGUACCUGAAACCGUGUGCCUACAAGCCGUCAGAGCCGUGAUGGGUGAUGGCGUGCCUUUUGAAGAAUGAGCCUGCGAGUCAGUGCUGCGUGGCGAGGUUAACCCGUGUGGGGGAGCCGUAGCGAAAGCGAGUCCGAAGAGGGCGGUUGAGUCGCGUGGUCUGGACCCGAAGCGGGGUGAUCUACCCAUGGCCAGGGUGAAGCAGCAGUAAGAUGUUGUGGAGGCCCGAACCCACCAGGGUUGAAAACCUGGGGGAUGAGCUGUGGGUAGGGGUGAAAGGCCAAUCAAACUCCGUGAUAGCUGGUUCUCCCCGAAAUGCAUUUAGGUGCAGCGUCAUGUGUUUCACGCCGGGGGUAGAGCACUGGAUGGUCUAGGGGGCCUACAAGCUUACCGAAAUCAGCCAAACUCCGAAUACCGGUGUGUGAGAGCGUGGCAGUGAGACUGCGGGCGAUAAGGUUCGUAGUCGAGAGGGAAACAGCCCAGAACACCAGCUAAGGCCCCUAAGUGUGCGCUAAGUGGGAAAGGAUGUGGGGUCGCCCAGACAACCAGGAGGUUGGCUUAGAAGCAGCCAUCCUUGAAAGAGUGCGUAAUAGCUCACUGGUCAAGUGGUCCUGCGCCGACAAUGUAGCGGGGCUGAAGCGCGCCGCCGAAGCUGUGUCAUUCACACAAUACAUCCGCCCUGUCUCUUUGGGAUGGGGUGCAGUGGUGUGGAUGGGUAGGGGAGCGUCGUGUGGCCUUGGAAGCGGCAGCGUGAGCUAGCCGUGGAGGCCAUGCGAGUGAGAAUGCAGGCAUGAGUAGCGAAAGCAGAGUGAGAAUCUCUGCCGCCGGAUGACCAAGGGUUCCUGGGGCAGGUUCGUCCGCCCAGGGUAAGUCGGGACCUAAGGCGAGGCCGACAGGCGUAGUCGAUGGACAACGGGUUGAUAUUCCCGUACCCGUGUGGACGCGUCCCUGACGAGGCCGUUGAUACUAACCGCCCAAAGCCGCCGCAGCUUUCGGGUUGUGGUGGUGGAGCGCGGGAUCUGAUUCGGUAGUAGUCAAGCGAUGGGGUGACGCAGGAGGGUAGCUCCGCCAGCUGUUGGUGACUGGUGCAAGCGUGUGGCCCGCAGCAUAGGCAAAUCCGUGCUGCAUCAAGGGUGAGGCGUGAUGCGUAGCCGAUUGAGGCGAAGUAGAGUGAUCCCAUGCUGCCGAGAAAAGCCUCUAGCGAGUGUCCGUGCGGCCCGUACCCCAAACCGACACAGGUGGUCAGGUAGAGAAUACCGAGGCGUUCGGGUGAACUGUGGUCAAGGAACUCGGCAAAAUGCCCCCGUAACUUCGGGAGAAGGGGGGCCGGUGUGCUUGAAGCCCUUUGCGGGCUAGGGUGUGCCGGCCGCAGAGACCAGCGAGAAGCGACUGUUUACUAAAAACACAGGUCCGUGCGAAGUCGUAAGACGAUGUAUACGGACUGACUCCUGCCCGGUGCUGGAACGUUAAGAGGACCGGUUAGCCCGUAAGGGCGAAGCUGAGAAUUUAAGCGCCAGUAAACGGCGGUGGUAACUAUAACCAUCCUAAGGUAGCGAAAUUCCUUGUCGGGUAAGUUCCGACCUGCACGAAUGGAGUAACGACUUCUCGGCUGUCUCGACCACAGGCCCGGUGAAAUUGCACUACGAGUAAAGAUGCUCGUUACGCGCGGCAGGACGGAAAGACCCCGGGACCUUUACUAUAGCUUGGUAUUGGUGCUUGGUUCGGUUUGUGUAGGAUAGGUGGGAGACUGGGAAGCGCUCACGCCAGUGGGUGUGGAGUCGUCGUUGAAAUACCACUCUGAUCGUACUGAGCAUCUCAACCUCGGACCGUGAUCCGGUUCAGGGACAGUGCCUGGUGGGUAGUUUAACUGGGGCGGUUGCCUCCCAAAGGGUAACGGAGGCGCCCAAAGGUUCCCUCAGCCUGGUUGGCAAUCAGGUGUUGAGUGCAAGUGCACAAGGGGGCUUGACUGUGAGACUGACGGGUCGAGCAGGGACGAAAGUCGGGACUAGUGAUCCGGCGCUGGCUGGUGGAAGCGGCGUCGCUCAACGGAUAAAAGGUACCCCGGGGAUAACAGGCUGAUCUUGCCCAAGAGUCCAUAUCGACGGCAUGGUUUGGCACCUCGAUGUCGGCUCGUCGCAUCCUGGGGCUGGAGUAGGUCCCAAGGGUUGGGCUGUUCGCCCAUUAAAGCGGUACGCGAGCUGGGUUUAGAACGUCGUGAGACAGUUCGGUCCCUAUCCGCCGCGCGCGUUGGAGACUUGAGGAAGGCUGUCCCUAGUACGAGAGGACCGGGACGGACGAACCUCUGGUGUGCCAGUUGUCCCGCCAGGGGCAUGGCUGGUUGGCUACGUUCGGAAGGGAUAACCGCUGAAGGCAUCUAAGCGGGAAGCCUGUUCCAAGAUGAGGUCUCCCACCCCUUUGAGGGUUAAGGUCCCCAGUAGACGACUGGGUUGAUAGGCCGGAGAUGGAAGCACUGUGAGGUGUGGAGUUGACCGGUACUAAUAGGCCGAGGGCUUGCCACG
This 3108-nucleotide ribosomal RNA is filed under the name Actinokineospora sp. UTMC 2448. RNAcentral describes it as "23S ribosomal RNA". It matches the Rfam family "Bacterial large subunit ribosomal RNA". The record is from RNAcentral. Lineage: Bacteria; Bacillati; Actinomycetota; Actinomycetes; Pseudonocardiales; Pseudonocardiaceae.